AAGAAGAAAAAGGUAGGCUCCUUUAUUGCAGUGGCAGGAAGAGAAAUGAGCAGAACAUUGGACUCAUCAGUCCCAAAGAAAAAGAAGAAUGCACUUUUGAAAUGUUUGAACCCCACCCCUGCAAAUCCUGGGCUACCUGCAGACACCUUCACUACCUCAGCACAGCCCAUCGAUGCAGCAUCAGGUGUGUGUGUGUGUGGGGGGGGGUUGUUUCUAAAAUGCAGACAAAAUGCAGUUUCUGUGUGAGUGUAUGAACACAAUGAUCGGUGGUGGAAUUGGCUGCAAUGUAAGGAGCAUCAGCUAAAAUCUUGUCUAGCGCACCAAAUUGGUCAGGAACAGCCCUGCUGAGAGGGAUGGAAGUGCAGGUAAUUGUGCUUUAAUAAGAACAAUUUGACAAAUCCAAAAAACGCUAGGCAGAAUCUAGAUCACAAAACAGGCAAAAGUCAGAUGAUCAGACCUGGAUAAACCAGGCAAAGACAACAGAUGUGUAUUGAGAAACUAGGCAAGGACAAACCAGAAUAACAAUCACAGUAUAACAGGCUGAGUACUGUCAGAUGUACAGAGAUAUAUAUAAUAUGUCUAUAAUAUGUAUAUAUGUAUAAUAUAUGUAAAUAUGCUGCAUAUAUAUUUUUGUGUGUGUGUGUGUGUGUGUGUGUGUGUGUGUGUGAUAUGGAACAGGUGUGCUCACUCAAAAGUCCAGUGAUUGUGAACGUGGCAGAGUGUGUAAGUUCUGGGGAGUGAGGUCCAUGUUUAUAGGCCGAGGUGUGUGUUGGGAAGUGAAGCUUGCUGACUGGGUUGCCCUGACAAUGGAGCAGCAAUUUGCAUUGUAUUAAUGUACUGUAGGUAGCCCAGGGAGAGUUUAUUUCUGUAGUUUCUGUCAGUAAUGGACAUUAGAUUAAUAGUAACAUGUUUUACCAUUGUAUUUAUCAAAUAAUGUUCCAGUAAUGGUAGUCCAGUCAUACUUUUACUGCUAUGCUCAAUAAUAAAGUUUUUUUUUGUUGUUGUUGUCAUUUUAGUCCAUUCAGUUCCAUUCAAACAAUUCAGUUGCAUGGUUUGCCCAAAUUUGCAACCUGAUAAAGCAG
Long non-coding RNA from Ictalurus punctatus (channel catfish), 1082 nucleotides. The record is from Ensembl. NCBI's taxonomy places the organism in Eukaryota, Metazoa, Chordata, Actinopteri, Siluriformes, Ictaluridae.